UAUAGGUGAUGGAGUUCACCUUUAACCGCCGAUGGCUAAUGACUCCUGCUAG
This 52-nucleotide non-coding RNA is filed under the name Neobacillus jeddahensis. Its description in RNAcentral is "Fluoride riboswitch". It matches the Rfam family "Fluoride riboswitch aptamer (crcB RNA motif)", at positions 7 to 61 of the family's 64-position model. The record is from RNAcentral. Lineage: Bacteria; Bacillati; Bacillota; Bacilli; Caryophanales; Bacillaceae.